GAUGAAGAACGGAGCGAAAUGCGAUAAGUAAUGUGAAUUGCAGAAUUCAGUGAAUCAUCGAAUCUUUGAACGCACAUUGCGCCCGCCAGUAUUCUGGCGGGCAUGCCUGUUCGAGCGUCAUUUCAACCAUCAAGCCCCAGGCUUGUGUUGGGGACCUGCGGCUGCCGCAGGCCCUGAAAACCAGUGGCGGGCUCGCUGUCACACCGGGCGUAGUAGAUUUUAUCUCGCUCAGGGCGUGCUGCGGGUUCCGGCCGUUAAAAAGCCUUUUUUACCCAAGGUUGACCUCGGAUCAGGUAGGAAUACCCGCUGAACUUAAGCAUAUCAAUAAGCGGAGGA
RNAcentral lists this unclassified non-coding RNA (336 nucleotides) under soil metagenome. RNAcentral's name for it is "partial contains 5.8S ribosomal RNA, internal transcribed spacer 2, and large subunit ribosomal RNA". The stretch from base 1 to 120 matches the Rfam family "5.8S ribosomal RNA", at positions 35 to 154 of the family's 154-position model. The record is from RNAcentral.